RNAcentral lists this transfer RNA (71 nucleotides) under Cryptocephalus vittatus. RNAcentral describes it as "tRNA-Lys". The record is from RNAcentral. Lineage: Eukaryota; Metazoa; Arthropoda; Insecta; Coleoptera; Chrysomelidae.
CAUUAGGUGGCUGAAAAUUAAAGCAAUGGAAUUUUAAACCAUACUACAGUAAUUAAUGACUACUUCUAAUG